AGCACUCCUACGGGAGGCAGCAGUGGGGAAUAUUGCACAAUGGGCGCAAGCCUGAUGCAGCCAUGCCGCGUGUAUGAAGAAGGCCUUCGGGUUGUAAAGUACUUUCAGCAGUGAGGAAGGUGGGUAUGUUAAUAGCAUAUUCAUUUGACGUUAGCUGCAGAAGAAGCACCGGCUAACUCCGUGCCAGCAGCCGCGGUAAUACGGAGGGUGCGAGCGUUAAUCGGAAUUACUGGGCGUAAAGCGCAUGCAGGUGGUUUGUUAAGUCAGAUGUGAAAGCCCGGGGCUCAACCUCGGAAUUGCAUUUGAAACUGGCAAACUAGAGUACUGUAGAGGGGGUAGAAUUUCAGGUGUAGCGGUGAAAAUGCGUAGAGAUCUGAAGGAAUACCGGUGGCGAAGGCGGCCCCCUGGACAGAUACUGACACUCAGAUGCGAAAGCGUGGGGAGCAAACAGGAUUACAUACCCUGGUAG
RNAcentral lists this ribosomal RNA (469 nucleotides) under uncultured bacterium. RNAcentral's name for it is "bacterial SSU rRNA". It matches the Rfam family "Bacterial small subunit ribosomal RNA", at positions 332 to 793 of the family's 1533-position model. The record is from RNAcentral.